This is a long non-coding RNA of Parus major (Great Tit), 546 nucleotides long. RefSeq lists it as uncharacterized. The record is from RefSeq and is a predicted model, not a curated record. The transcript is spliced from 3 exons. NCBI's taxonomy places the organism in Eukaryota, Metazoa, Chordata, Aves, Passeriformes, Paridae.
CAGAAUAUCUACUGCUGCCACAUGCAUGCUGUCAUUGACACUUUGGAUUGCAUGAGGCUGGAUUUUAGGUUGGUGACUGGCUCCCCCUAAACACUGAAAUGAUUGAUGAAAUCAGGUGCCAGCUGGAGUUCUGGUUCCAGGGAAAGCCUGAGGAUGUGAUCCUGAUGCACUGCAAGGCUCAGAAACCAGAUGCCAAACAAGAAGCCAAACCGUGUUGCCAUUUUUAAAUAUCCAACGUUUUAAGGGAGCCUUAUGCUCUGGGUCCUCAGCCAUGAUUUCUGAGUGUGGGAGAGCUUCACAUUUCAUGGACACAAAGGCAAAUAAAGACUUCAGGAGUGCUAAUAUUCCCUAUCUCCCCUCUCUUGCGUACUUGUUUCUGAUUUUCAUCCUGCGUGUGCUUUGCUUUCCACAUUGUGAGUACUCACAUUCCUCUCAGUGGUAAAGAAAAACACACAAAUAAAUCUUUGCUAGGACGGAGCAGAUUUUAAAUCAAAACUUUGCAUAAAGUGCUGUCAAGGCUUUAAACUCUUCCAUCUGUUAUUAUAU